Molecule: ribosomal RNA, 301 nt
Filed under: uncultured bacterium
Lineage: Bacteria
Description: partial 16S ribosomal RNA
Rfam family: Bacterial small subunit ribosomal RNA
Source: RNAcentral
CAGUCGCCGCGGUAAUACGAAGGGGGCUAGCGUUACUCGGAAUUACUGGGCGUAAAGGGCGCGUAGGCGGCACGAUUAGUCAGGCGUGAAAUUCCUGGGCUCAACCUGGGGACUGCGCUUGAUACGGUCGAGCUAGAGGAUGGAAGAGGGUCGUGGAAUACCCAGUGUAGAGGUGAAAUUCGUAGAUAUUGGGAAGAACACCGGUGGCGAAGGCGGCGACCUGGUCCAUUACUGACGCUGAGGCGCGACAGCGUGGGGAGCAAACAGGAUUAGAUACCCGCGUAGUCCCUGUCUCUUAUAC